This 1246-nucleotide long non-coding RNA is filed under the name Zonotrichia albicollis (white-throated sparrow). RNAcentral's name for it is "lncRNA (ENSZALG00000018104.1)". The record is from RNAcentral. Lineage: Eukaryota; Metazoa; Chordata; Aves; Passeriformes; Passerellidae.
GACCUGACCACCUUAUGCAGGGAUUCACUGAAGAAACAGUGCUGUCAUGUAAUUACAAGCUAUGGUAAUGGUACACGGGGCCCUCCCUAAGGUUGCACAGACAACAUUAGCUGUGGCAUUUCCUAACUUUUAAGUGUUUGACUUAGUAACAUUAGCAUUACAGUAAUGCAUUUUCAGUAUAAUUUCUCAGCGUUUUCUUUACAAGUCAACCUAGAAGCUGUUGCAGGCUGCUGCGGAGGCUGGGCGGGCUGGCACCUGUGGAGCUGUAAUACAGGACUCCACCACUCCGGCCGGCAGCGCCAGCAGCAGCUCCACUGAAACGGCGCUGACGAGGGCAUCAGCCACUGGGAGACUGUGAGGACCCUUCAUUCAGUGACUUGACAGUGUCUUCCUGACGAGGAAAGUUCUGAGAAACAGGAGCCCCAAUCUGACCCUCAAGGAGGAGAGCAAAGUACACUGCCACGGGAAGAGACUCUUUGGACCCUGGCUCCCCAAACCCGCACAUCUGCUGCUGCUGUUGGAUUUGCUUCCAUUCAGUUGACUCCACGGACUGCUGCUCCUCUUGCUUUGUAGCUUACUUUCUCUCAUGUUAUUUCUCCCUCCCCAGACUACUCCUUGUCACAGUCUGUUCUUUAUCCCAUUGCCCUAAAAGAAGCAUUUCCUCAAAUAACUCUUCCCCUCUGCUCUACCCCAGGCAUGAAUAUACCCUGAGCACAGAGGAAAGCAAACUGCUUAGCAUGGUAAAUUAGGCCACGUGGUGUUUCAGGCUGCCUUAACUAGACCACUCCUUGCAAGACUGUUUAAAACUAACUCGGGUAUCAUAAUUUGCAAUCCACAGUGUAGACAUAUCAAAAUGUCCUUGUUCUCAUUUCCACUGCUUGCUGCCAUAGCAACCCCUGGUCAAAAGGAAAUUUCCAUUGAUAUCAGAAGGAGCAGCAUUUCACCCAGCAAAGUUUUCAGUCUGAAAACUUGCAGCCCAAACUCCUUAAGAUGCAGUCCUGCAAAGGCAGCUGAGCUGAAGAACAUAAACCUGUUGGAGUGGAGUGGGAGCAAAGAGGAUUCUGUGAAGUGUCUGCUGCUUCCUAAAUGCAUCCCAUAUGCACCCAUGCCAUUAAAUUAUGCCAGUUCUUGUAUGGACUACAAUGGGAAAUUCUAACACUGUUUACUAGAUUUGUUUCUCCUACUUCAAUCAUAGUUGAAAUGUAAUUGUAAUAAAUCUUCUGUUUGUUAGGGGUUUUUUUUGGGU